GCUGGCGGCACGCCUAACACAUGCAAGUCGAACGAAGUAGCAAUACUUAGUGGCAGACGGGUGAGUAACAUGUAGGUAUCUGCCCUUUGGCCUGGAAUAACACGAGGAAACUUGUGCUAAUACCGGAUAAGUCUUUACGGAGAAAGCUUUAUGCACCAUUGGAUGAGCCUGCACUUGAUUAGUUUGUUGGUAGGGUAAUGGCCUACCAAGACUGUGAUCAAUAGCUGAUUUGAGAGGAUGAUCAGCCACAUUGGGACUGAGACACGGCCCAAACUCCUACGGGAGGCAGCAGUGGGGAAUCUUGCACAAUGGAGGAAACUCUGAUGCAGCGAUGCCGCGUGAGUGAAGAAGGCCCUUGGGUUGUAAAGCUCUUUCGUCGGGGAAGAAAAUGACUGUACCCGAAUAAGAAGGUCCGGCUAACUUCGUGCCAGCAGCCGCGGUAAUACGAAGGGACCUAGCGUAGUUCGGAAUUACUGGGCUUAAAGAGUUCGUAGGUUGUUGAAAAAGUUGGUGGUGAAAUCCCAGAGCUUAACUCUGGAACUGCCAUCAAAACUUUUUAGCUAGAGUAUGAUAGAGGAAAGCAGAAUUUCUAGUGUAGAGGUGAAAUUCGUAGAUAUUAGAAAGAAUACCAAUUGCGAAGGCAGCUUUCUGGAUCAUUACUGACACUGAGGAACGAAAGCAUGGGUAGCGAAGAGGAUUAGAUACCCUCGUAGUCCAUGCCGUAAACGAUGUGUGUUAGACGUUGGAAAUUUAUUUUCAGUGUCGCAGCGAAAGCGAUAAACACACCGCCUGGGGAGUACGACCG
RNAcentral lists this ribosomal RNA (805 nucleotides) under uncultured Pelagibacteraceae bacterium. RNAcentral's name for it is "bacterial SSU rRNA". It matches the Rfam family "Bacterial small subunit ribosomal RNA", at positions 35 to 888 of the family's 1533-position model. Lineage: Bacteria; Pseudomonadati; Pseudomonadota; Alphaproteobacteria; Candidatus Pelagibacterales; Candidatus Pelagibacteraceae. The record is from RNAcentral.